AAAUGUCCUUUCUUUCCCUUGAUGAUUUCAUUGUGCUUACACUUCUUGCCCAGCACCUUUGAUUUAAUUAACUGUCUUUAACUAGACAAGUGCUUUAUGUGUUUACUUGUACCGCUUCCCAAAGAUACCAUUGCCACUUAGUCAACCAAAAAAAAAAAAUCUUACGAAGCUAAGCUUUAAUUCUGGUUAUGAUAAGCAUGAAAUUGAAUGCAAUGGUUUUGGGCAUAUGAACGUACAUUGUUGAACAUAGUCCAGAAGAUCACAUCAUAUUAAAAUCUCCAUCAGAAGAAAUGCUUGUUGCAUCCCUGUCCUCUCAGCCUGCUGUGGGAUGCAAACUGGGGAACGUGUGGGACAUGUGCUUCUGAGCAGGCGCUGCCCAGCGGUGUGACGGGAAAUGGGGAGUUCAGCAAAAUAAGGAGGUCACCCACCUUGAAAUAAUGAUGUCUGGAAGCAAGUAUGUGGGUGCAGUAUCAACAGCACUCCUCAAGUCACAUCUGUGUGUGCUCUUUUGGGAGUGACGAUCUGGUACACAGGCAAAUUCCUCAGAAAGAGAAUGAGUCAAAGGAUGGCUUUGUCCGGGAUGACAAAGCAGCCCGGACAGACCAUCAGUAAUGCAACCACAUCAGAGACCCUGUGGCCACUCCACAGCCACUUGGGUAACUGGCCAAGGAGCCAGAUAUUCCCCAGUCUGGCACCUGUGCCUAGUCUGAUGUGGCAGGGUAAAUGGUGUGUCCCACAUGGCUCUACCAUUUCCCUUCUUGAGUAUUUACACAUAUGCACACACAAAGGCAACCUCUCUCAUCUCAGGAAAGAAGUACAGGCCUGCUCUGGCCCUGGAAAAGUGGAAUGGCUCUUCUUCACUGUCUGACCUCACAUCACUCAAGGCAGGACAAAACCCAGACGAAAAUAUCGUCUUGUUCGUACAUAAUAAAAAAGUCAUUUUCACCCUAAACCA
RNAcentral lists this long non-coding RNA (955 nucleotides) under Apteryx owenii (little spotted kiwi). RNAcentral describes it as "lncRNA (ENSAOWG00000002115.1)". The record is from RNAcentral. Lineage: Eukaryota; Metazoa; Chordata; Aves; Apterygiformes; Apterygidae.